CUGGGUGACAGGCAAGACUCCAUCUCAAAAAACAAACAAAAAAGUCACAUGCCCUCACCUCAUCUGCAGACCUGAGCUAUACCACUCACUAGAUUAUUGCCUCUUCACAAGGCGGCGUUACGAUUUCCAGAAUCCAUCACGCAUGGACCGCAAUGUGGAAAUGUUUAUGACCAUUGAGAAGUCCUUGGUGCAGAAUAAUUGCCUGUCUCGACCUAACAUUUUUCUGUGCCCAGAAAUUGAGCCCAAACUACUAGGGAAAUUAAAGGACAUUAUCAAGAGACACCAGGGAACAGUCACUGAGGAUAAGAACAAUGCCUCCCAUGUUGUGUAUCCUGUCCCGGGGAAUCUAGAAGAAGAGGAAUGGGUACGACCAGUCAUGAAGAGGGAUAAGCAGGUUCUUCUGCACUG
RNAcentral lists this small RNA (408 nucleotides) under Pongo abelii (Sumatran orangutan). Its description in RNAcentral is "retained intron". The record is from RNAcentral. Lineage: Eukaryota; Metazoa; Chordata; Mammalia; Primates; Hominidae.